GAUGAAGAACGCAGCGAAAUGCGAUAAGUAAUGUGAAUUGCAGAAUUCAGUGAAUCAUCGAAUCUUUGAACGCACCUUGCACCCUUUGGUAUUCCGAAGGGUAUGCUCGUUUGAGUGUCAUUGUACUCUCACACUUCUAAUUCCUUUCGGGAUUGGGAGCGGUGGACUUGGGUGUUGCUGCUUUAGUUGUGGCUCACCUCAAAUAAGUUAGUGCAACUCUUGGUUGGACAUAGUACGGCGUGAUAAGUGUCUUCGCCGGCGCCUCUGUAAGGAGGGCGGCCGAUCGGGAGCUCUGUGCUUCAAACCGUCUUCGGACAAUCUUUGACAACUUGACCUCAAAUCGAGUAGGACUACCCGCUGAACUUAAGCAUAUCAAUAAGCGGAGGA
Molecule: unclassified non-coding RNA, 387 nt
Filed under: soil metagenome
Description: partial contains 5.8S ribosomal RNA, internal transcribed spacer 2, and large subunit ribosomal RNA
Rfam family: 5.8S ribosomal RNA (bases 1-120)
Source: RNAcentral